GGGUAGAUUGAUGCGCGUUAAGUGCAGCGGAGACGGAAUGUGAGCCGCUGACGAAACAAACAUUCAUUGCUAGCAUUUUUUCGUGUUAGC
RNAcentral lists this non-coding RNA (90 nucleotides) under Leuconostoc mesenteroides. The record is from RNAcentral. RNAcentral also lists the same sequence under 1 other name. Lineage: Bacteria; Bacillati; Bacillota; Bacilli; Lactobacillales; Lactobacillaceae.